RNAcentral lists this ribosomal RNA (433 nucleotides) under uncultured bacterium. RNAcentral's name for it is "partial 16S ribosomal RNA". It matches the Rfam family "Bacterial small subunit ribosomal RNA", at positions 29 to 507 of the family's 1533-position model. The record is from RNAcentral.
AACGAACGCUGGCGGCAUGCCUAACACACGCAAGUCGAACGAGACCUUCGGGUCUAGUGGCGCACGGGUGCGUAACGCGUGGGAACCUGCCCUUAGGUUCGGAAUAACUCCCCGAAAGGGGUGCUAAUACCGGAUAAGGUCUUCGGACCAAAGAUUUAUCGCCUUUGGAUGGGCCCGCGUUGGAUUAGCUAGUUGGUAGGGUAAAAGCCUACCAAGGCGACGAUCCAUAGCUGGUCUGAGAGGAUGAUCAGCCACACUGUGACUGAGACACGGCCCAGACUCCUCCGGGAGGCAGCAGUGGGGAAUAUUGGAACAUGGGCGAAAGCCUGAUCCAGCAAUGCCGCGUGAGUGAUGAAGGCCUUAGGGUUGUAAAGCUCUUUUACCCGGGAUGAUAAUGACAGUACCGGGAGAAUAAGCUCCGGCUAACUCCGUG